UGCUCCUUUGAUUCUUUGAGGAUUUGAGGAUUUGUUCUCCAAAACACCAAAAGUUUAAUGUCUCUAAGUCUCUUCACCAAGGAUGUAUCUUGUGAAGAUGAUAUGGAUGACUUAGGGAAGAAGAGAUUGCUAGAUGUCCUUCCCCUUAGUGGCCGGCCUCUUGGAAGAAAAAGAGAGAAAAUGUUUCACCCAAUUUCAUCAAGAAAACCCUAAAUGAAAAUAAAGCUAUAAAGUUGAAUUUAUACUUCAUUACAAGUGAGUGGCAAACUUGUAA
Molecule: long non-coding RNA, 274 nt
Filed under: Malus domestica (apple)
Lineage: Eukaryota; Viridiplantae; Streptophyta; Magnoliopsida; Rosales; Rosaceae
Description: long non-coding RNA (MDOM_LNC005872)
Source: RNAcentral